UACGUAGGUGGCAAGCGUUGUCCGGAAUUAUCGGGCGUAAAGCGCGCGCAGGCGGUCCUUUAAGUCUGAUGUGAAAGCCCACGGCUCAACCGUGGAGGGUCAUUGGAAACUGGGGGACUUGAGUACAGAAGAGGAGAGUGGAAUUCCACGUGUAGCGGUGAAAUGCGUAGAUAUGUGGAGGAACACCAGUGGCGAAGGCGGCUCUCUGGUCUGUAACUGACGCUGAGGCGCGAAAGCGUGGGGAGCAAACAGG
Molecule: ribosomal RNA, 253 nt
Filed under: uncultured bacterium
Lineage: Bacteria
Description: partial 16S ribosomal RNA
Rfam family: Bacterial small subunit ribosomal RNA
Source: RNAcentral